UGCUAGACUGCAAGUGCUGAGUCAUCUCACU
This 31-nucleotide non-coding RNA is filed under the name Rattus norvegicus (Norway rat). The record is from RNAcentral. Lineage: Eukaryota; Metazoa; Chordata; Mammalia; Rodentia; Muridae.